AGAGUUUGAUCAUGGCUCAGAAUGAACGCUGGCGGCGUGCUUUACACAUGCAAGUCGAGCGAGGCGUCCCGCAAGGGAUAGUCGAGCGGCGAACGGGUGAGUAACGCGUGGAUAACCUGCCCUGAGGUGGGGGAUAACCAAGGGAAACUUUGGCUAAUACCGCAUGAUACCGAGAGGUCAAAGGGGGCUCGCAAGGGCUCCCGCCAUAGGAGGGGUCCGCGUCCGAUUAGCUAGUUGGUAGGGUAACGGCCUACCAAGGCCACGAUCGGUAGCCGGCCUGAGAGGGUGAUCGGCCACACUGGAACUGAGACACGGUCCAGACUCCUACGGGAGGCAGCAGUGGGGAAUUUUGCGCAAUGGGCUAACGCCUGACGCAGCAACGCCGCGUGGAGGAUGAAGGUCUUUGGAUUGUAAACUCCUGUCAGCAGGGAAAAAGCGAAUUGACCUAAUACGUCAGUGAGUUGAUUGUACCUGCAGAGGAAGCCCCGGCUAACUCUGUGCCAGCAGCCGCGGUAAUACAGAGGGGGCAAGCGUUAUUCGGAAUUAUUGGGCGUAAAGGGCGCGUAGGCGGCUUGGCAAGUGGAAGGUGAAAUCCCUCGGCUUAACCGAGGAACUGCCCUCCAAACUGCUUCGCUUGAGACCGGGAGAGGUGAGUGGAAUUCCCAGUGUAGCGGUGAAAUGCGUAGAUAUUGGGAGGAACACCAGUGGCGAAGGCGGCUCACUGGACCGGUACUGACGCUGAUGCGCGAAAGCGUGGGGAGCAAACGGGAUUAGAUACCCUAGUAGUCC
RNAcentral lists this ribosomal RNA (789 nucleotides) under uncultured bacterium. Its description in RNAcentral is "bacterial SSU rRNA". It matches the Rfam family "Bacterial small subunit ribosomal RNA", at positions 8 to 796 of the family's 1533-position model. The record is from RNAcentral.